Non-coding RNA from Camellia sinensis, 1553 nucleotides. NCBI's taxonomy places the organism in Eukaryota, Viridiplantae, Streptophyta, Magnoliopsida, Ericales, Theaceae. The record is from RefSeq and is a predicted model, not a curated record.
CUCAAGUAUCAUAAAGAUCUAACCAUUUUUAUGUAAUGGACAAGCUAUUUUCUCUUGAAAUUUCCUGCAUUAGCAAGUAAAUGGGCUCCAAAUUAGUAACUACCAUGAUGCGCAUUCCAAUUAAAAUAGCACUCACAGCAAUCACUACAACCAGCCUGUUAAUAAUAGGGGCAUCAAUCCAGGAAAAAUGCACCUCACAAUGCUUUGAGCAUUUUCAUAUAUACUGCACAAAAUCCUUAUAUUAUUUUAACCUAUCUUCUACUAAUUUGGUGUAUUCACUAGAACUGCAGUAAUCAUCAGGACCAAGCCUUAAUGUAUGGGCUGAUAUUUGCCAAAGAACAAUAUAUUUCCUUGUAUCUAGUAAUUAUGUGUCUUUUCGAAUCAUAUGUGCAAGGCUAAUGAAGUCGAAGAGAAACAAAAGACAACGAAGGUAAGAUACCUCAGUCUAAAUCAGAUCUAGCAAAUAGAGAUAUCCUAGCAUGGGAUUAUUGUUAUUUUCAACAUAAAUCAUUUGAAGAAAUUCAAUCAAAACUAGUCAAACAACUUCUUUUCUUUACUCUUCUAACUUAUCCAAUCAGUUCUUUUCUUUUCUUUUCUUUUCUUUUCUUUACUAAAUUACCAAACAGAGUGCCAGUUUUCUAUGUAACCAAACAGAGAGAGAAAAGGCAAAAAUUUGCUACCCAUAAAGGAGGGAAGCUCCUCAAGCCUCAAAAGUCGAAAGAAAACCUUCAUGAGAGGGAAUGGAAUAUAUAUAUGUGUGUGUGUGUGUGUGUGCGCGUGUGUAUAUAUUGGGAUGCAUCAGCAACCACCUUAAGUACAACCAACAUUUCCCAAAUCUAAAAAACAAUUUUUAAAAAACAAAAACACCGAAAACAAAAAAAAUAAGAAAAAUACACAAAUAGAAAGCAAACCCAUAACCACAAAACACCAAAAAACCAAACCCAGAACCUAAAAUCAGAAAUUGAAGGGCACAUAUCAAACUGGUUAUGAACAAAUUGAGAAGAUUAAUUGAAGUAAGGAAGUAGAAAUAGGUAAAUUGAUGGAAACCCAUAACAGAAAAGAAGUGGAGCUCACAGAAGCAUAGUCGGGAUGGUUACCAAGCAGCAGUUUCAGCGGCCAAUUCAUCGAGUUGGCUGGUGGUGAUGCCCUUGAGCUUCUUGAAACGGGCAAUGAUCUUAUUGAAAUGUUUAGGAGGUCACAUCAGCAAGACAAUUGAAGGACACAAGGGCUACAUGGCUGCAGCCAUAUCCACAACAUGGGCAGUUGGCUAAAGCAUUACAAGUCAAGGUAGAGCUGCAGCCAAGGCCACAGCCAUGGCCACAGCUCAGAACAACAGAACAGUUGCAGCAGUUGCAGCCACAACUCAGUCCAACAGAGCAAUUGCAUCAGAUUGCAAAUACAUUCAAGUUCUUCUCUGAUUUUCUUUAAUUUUAACAUGAGGAGCAAGUGUAAAACAAUAGCCAACAAUCUUUUAAUUGAAUUGAAUGAAAUCACAAGCUUUAAUAACAUAUGGCUUUAACCAAUGAAACCAAAAAGGAAAAUAGUAAGUAAAA